Long non-coding RNA from Asterias rubens (European starfish), 468 nucleotides. RefSeq lists it as uncharacterized. The record is from RefSeq and is a predicted model, not a curated record. The transcript has 2 exons. Lineage: Eukaryota; Metazoa; Echinodermata; Asteroidea; Forcipulatida; Asteriidae.
UAUUCUCUGGCAACUUCGAUGACCAAUUGAGUCAAAUAUUCCACAGAUUUUUCAUUAUUUUUAUGCAUGUGACGGUCAUGAACUAUUACAUAUGCCCACAGUCUAUUUUUGAUUUAACUUCACCCUCGUAAUACCUCCAUAAGCGCCCUCCAGCGAUCUCAUUUUCGCGGGCUUUCAGUUCAUAAGAUCCUUAGACGAAGAUCUCAUCACACUGUAUUUAUCUUCGUCAACAGAUUCAUGAGUGUAAAUAAACUACUGGAAAGCUAACAACUGAACAGCCGUGUCAAUCUUGAAUACAGUCAGAGGGGUCACAUGCAUAUGUUGGGAUAGGCCUACACCAAGUGAUAAUACUGGGCCUUGACAAGACCACAGUGCCUUUAAGUACGAUAAUGUAUUGUGCUUUAACGCUAGAAGAGUAUGAUAUUCUAAUUAUUUGAUUAAAAGGUGUGAUGGUGAUUGUCAUGUUAA